This 292-nucleotide ribosomal RNA is filed under the name uncultured bacterium. RNAcentral's name for it is "partial 16S ribosomal RNA". It matches the Rfam family "Bacterial small subunit ribosomal RNA", at positions 505 to 796 of the family's 1533-position model. The record is from RNAcentral.
GUGCCAGCCGCCGCGGUAAUACGAAGGGUGCAAGCGUUACUCGGAAUUACUGGGCGUAAAGCGUGCGUAGGUGGUUUGUUAAGUCUGAUGUGAAAGCCCUGGGCUCAACCUGGGAAUUGCAUUGGAUACUGGCAGUCUAGAGUGCGGUAGAGGGUAGCGGAAUUCCCGGUGUAGCAGUGAAAUGCGUAGAUAUCGGGAGGAACAUCCGUGGCGAAGGCGGCUACCUGGACCAGCACUGACACUGAGGCACGAAAGCGUGGGGAGCAAACAGGAUUAGAUACCCUAGUAGUCC